AGCGAACGCUGGCGGCAGGCCUAACACAUGCAAGUCGAACGAACCUUUCGGGGUUAGUGGCGGACGGGUGAGUAACACGUGGGAACGUGCCUUUAGGUUCGGAAUAACUCAGGGAAACUUGUGCUAAUACCGAAUGUGCCCUUCGGGGGAAAGAUUUAUCGCCUUUAGAGCGGCCCGCGUCUGAUUAGCUAGUUGGGUGAGGUAAUGGCUCACCAAGGCGACGAUCAGUAGCUGGUCUGAGAGGAUGGUCAGCCACAUUGGGACUGAGACACGGCCCAAACUCCUACGGGAAGCAGCAGUGGGGAAUCUUGCGCAAUGGGCGAAAGCCUGACGCAGCCAUGCCGCGUGAAUGAUGAAGGUCUUAGGAUUGUAAAAUUCUUUCACCGGGGACGAUAAUGACGGUACCCGGAGAAGAAGCCCCGGCUAACUUCGUG
RNAcentral lists this ribosomal RNA (434 nucleotides) under uncultured bacterium. RNAcentral's name for it is "partial 16S ribosomal RNA". It matches the Rfam family "Bacterial small subunit ribosomal RNA", at positions 29 to 507 of the family's 1533-position model. The record is from RNAcentral.